Molecule: unclassified non-coding RNA, 430 nt
Filed under: Robinsonia gracilis
Lineage: Eukaryota; Viridiplantae; Streptophyta; Magnoliopsida; Asterales; Asteraceae
Description: partial contains external transcribed spacer and 18S ribosomal RNA
Rfam family: Eukaryotic small subunit ribosomal RNA (bases 368-430)
Source: RNAcentral
AACUUCCACCUGGCAUACCUCUUCAUUUAUGCGUCAUGACUUGUAUCGUCUUGAGCGUAUUGUGGGUUUCCUGUGUUGCAUACCUAACUAAUGGUAUUGUUUUGAUUGAUCGAAGUCCCUUUUCGUCUUGUGUUGCCUUUGCGACGCACGAUGAACCUUGAAGCGGUCUCUAUGUUCCACCAUGUUGAUGCUAGUGUUUUGAUGUUGUGGCCCAUUGAGUGUUGCUUGGUUUCGUGGAUACAGAACAUGAUUUGGGCAUAGGGUCACUCGUGACUCUUGUUAUGUCCUUUAUCAGUGUUCUUUAUAACGACGGUUCAUGCGCGCCUAGGCUCAUACCUGCGCGAUGUUCUUUGUCGAAGAGGAAUGCUACCUGGUUGAUCCUGCCAGUAGUCAUAUGCUUGUCUCAAAGAUUAAGCCAUGCAUGUGUAAG